RNAcentral lists this long non-coding RNA (1050 nucleotides) under Gallus gallus (chicken). Its description in RNAcentral is "lncRNA (ENSGALG00010012627.1)". The record is from RNAcentral. Lineage: Eukaryota; Metazoa; Chordata; Aves; Galliformes; Phasianidae.
CUUACACUGCACAGCCAAAGAAAACCAAUUCUCUCUUCACUACGUUCUGGUUGAACAAUUCCGAAGUAGCAGAAGUGGACACACUCUGCUAUUGUUCUCCACUGCUGCAGGAGCCAGAAUCUCUCCUCAUCCGCUGGAGGCAGAGCUGGGCAAACAACAAUUUGCACACUGCAUGGAAAGUGAUGCCAGGAACAUAGCAGAGGAAGAUGUCCUCAGGGUUUUCAAUUUGUAUGGGCUGUUAGCGGUUGAGACAACUGAGAAUUUUCUAUAGAAAUAGCUAUUUGUUGGGUUGGUUUUCUUUUUUUGUUUGUUUGUUUUUGGAAAAUGCUGAUUUAUUGAAUCAGGGAGGGUAUGAGGAGCACUGCUGAAGGCCAGAGUUUGGGCUGGAAACGCACAGAGGUUCUGCUUUGGGAACUGCUGCUGAUGUCCACCCCAUGCAGAUGAGCGAUGACUUCUGGCCUCCCCCAGCGAGCGCCCUGGGACCAUUUCUGCAGCGCAGACUGGAGCUCAGUUUACCAGGAAAUCCACGUUUGCAAUUUCUUCUCUCAGGUGGAUGGCCAGGGAGAGUCGCUGCUUCCUUGAACAGAGUUCGGAACAGGAAAUUGAGAAAAAGAAACCAACACAGCACACAGCUUGUCCAAGAGAAGGAGCUGACUGCUGGCUUUGCAGGCACUAUUUUUACGCCCAAAGGGUAUUUCCAAGCUCCCAAGGGCUUAGUAAUAGAACAGAUCCCAGGGGGAUGUUGGGGAAGGGCUCUGCUGAUGAAAAGAGGUUUCUUCCUGUUUGCUCCCUGCUGGUGGGACGUCUGCCAAGCACAGUCAAUGCUGAGGAACACCUGCAUCCAUCUAAUAACGUGGGCUGAGGAAAAAUCAUGAGAUAAUCGAUAGGAAACCAGCUCUCAGAAGGAGAAAGUACUUUAAACGUCUGCUCUCAAGUGACUGUUUCUGCUGACAGGUCGGAUGAUACACCGAAUCACACACACAGUCAGCACACACCUAAAUCAUCAAAACACGUUUGUACCACUCGCUGAGUUUGCCCUGGCACUGGAAG